AACGAACGUUAGCGGUGUGGAUUAGGCAUGCAAGUCGAGCGUGAAAGUUCCCUUCGGGGAGCGAGUAAAGCGGCGAAAGGGUGAGUAACACGUAAUCAACCUACCCCCUUGACCGGAAUAACCAGUGGAAACGCUGGCUAAUGCCGGAUGGCCCUGCGGUGUGGCAUCGCGCUACAGGUAAAUGGUAGCUUCGGCUUCUGUAAGGGGAGGGGAUUGCGGCCUAUCAGCUAGUUGGUGGGGUAACGGCCUACCAAGGCGAUGACGGGUAGCCGGUCUGAGAGGACGAUCGGCCACACUGGGACUGAGACACUGCCCAGACUCCUACGGGAGGCUGCAGUCGAGGAUCUUCCGCAAUGGGCAAAGCCUGACGGAGCGACACCGCGUGCAGGAUGAAGGCC
RNAcentral lists this ribosomal RNA (398 nucleotides) under uncultured bacterium. RNAcentral describes it as "bacterial SSU rRNA". It matches the Rfam family "Bacterial small subunit ribosomal RNA", at positions 29 to 416 of the family's 1533-position model. The record is from RNAcentral.